AGGUAACGCCCAUUAACGUAACCGAGGAUUUGACAAGACUAACUAGGCUGCUGCUCCCGCUGAUUGAGGAUAAAGGACGCGUUAACGUUAUUGACUUCCUCAUUGUGGUUUCGCUAUGAGCUGGCGUUACGUCAUAAGUGAACAGUGUCGGAUGUUCCUUCCUCUCCGGUAGGGAGGGAUGGGUGGAUGCUCCACUUUAAUCUGGUGUCAUUGCUCUUUGCUUGAAAGAUAUAAAUAAAGCACUUCCUGUGUUCAGCACUCAAACGACACACACACUGUGUGUGUGUAAAAACCAAGCAGCCAAAGUGUUCAGAAAGGGGUUGUUCUAAACGGCAGUUUUGUUGUUUUAUGCUGAAUCCCAGGAAAUGGAAGGUGGUUGUUUUCAUCUUGGGGGUGAUGUUUCUACUUUCACCAAAUGGAUGUAGAGCGACACUUAAUACGGUCUGAUCGUUUUAAUGCCUGCAGGAACAUGGCUGAUGGAGACCGGCGGAGGAGUGACGGGGACACUGUGGACGCCUUGUCAUUUUUGUCAAAGAGGUCAAAUGCAGAGCCCGAAGGCAGCAGUAAGACAGCAGGCUCUGACCCCUACCUCUACAAGAUGGACUAUCCCUGCAUCGGAACCUGUCUGAUCAUCAACAAUAAGAACUUCCACAGUAGCACAAGUAACUACAGCUGCACACACACACACACACACCUACCUGUUUCUUUGGACAAAUAUUCUGUGGAUGUAAUAACUCAUAUUAUAAUAAUAAGGGCUCAGCUGAGGAAGGUU
Molecule: long non-coding RNA, 772 nt
Organism: Pseudoliparis swirei
Lineage: Eukaryota; Metazoa; Chordata; Actinopteri; Perciformes; Liparidae
Exons: 3
Source: RefSeq, a predicted model, not a curated record